GACGAACGCUGGCGGCGUGCUUAACACAUGCAAGUCGAACGGAAAGGCCCUGCUUUUGUGGGGUGCUCGAGUGGCGAACGGGUGAGUAACACGUGAGUAACCUGCCCUUGACUUUGGGAUAACUUCAGGAAACUGGGGCUAAUACCGGAUAGGAGCUCCUGCUGCAUGGUGGGGGUUGGAAAGUUUCGGCGGUUGGGGAUGGACUCGCGGCUUAUCAGCUUGUUGGUGGGGUAGUGGCUUACCAAGGCUUUGACGGGUAGCCGGCAUGAGAGGGUUACCGGCCACAUUGGGACUGAGAUACGGCCCAGACUCCUACGGGAGGCAGCAGUGGGGAAUAUUGCACAAUGGGCGGAAGCCUGAUGCAGAAACGCCGCGUGCGGGAUGACGGCCUUCGGGUUGUAAACCGCUUUCGCCUGUGACGAAGCGUGAGUGACGGUAAUGGGUAAAGAAGCACCGGCUAACUACGUG
This 468-nucleotide ribosomal RNA is filed under the name uncultured bacterium. Its description in RNAcentral is "partial 16S ribosomal RNA". It matches the Rfam family "Bacterial small subunit ribosomal RNA", at positions 28 to 507 of the family's 1533-position model. The record is from RNAcentral.